Prunus dulcis (almond) is the source of this 157-nucleotide long non-coding RNA. RefSeq lists it as uncharacterized. The record is from RefSeq and is a predicted model, not a curated record. NCBI's taxonomy places the organism in Eukaryota, Viridiplantae, Streptophyta, Magnoliopsida, Rosales, Rosaceae. The transcript has 3 exons.
CCUUCCCUGCUCAGGUGCGGUUCAACGUGGAGAAAGAUUGUCUUCCUCUACCUGAGAGCGUUUUCAAGAAGGCAAUACAAGAAAACUAUAAUGAGAAAAAGAAGUUCAAAACAGAACUUACAGUUCGACAAGUCAGGAAGCUCACAUCACUUUGCCG